This 497-nucleotide ribosomal RNA is filed under the name uncultured bacterium. RNAcentral's name for it is "partial 16S ribosomal RNA". It matches the Rfam family "Bacterial small subunit ribosomal RNA", at positions 28 to 507 of the family's 1533-position model. The record is from RNAcentral.
GAUGAACGCUGGCGGCGUGCCUAAUACAUGCAAGUCGAGCGAACAGACGAGGAGCUUGCUCCUCUGACGUUAGCGGCGGACGGGUGAGUAACACGUGGAUAACCUACCUAUAAGACUGGGAUAACUUCGGGAAACCGGAGCUAAUACCGGAUAAUAUAUUGAACCGCAUGGUUCAAUAGUGAAAGACGGUUUUGCUGUCACUUAUAGAUGGAUCCGCGCCGCAUUAGCUAGUUGGUAAGGUAACGGCAUACAAAGGCAACGAUGCGUAGCCGACCUGAGAGGGUGAUCGGCCACACUGGAACUGAGACACGGUCCAGACUCCUACGGGAGGCAGCAGUAGGGAAUCUUCCGCAAUGGGCGAAGGCUGGACGGAGCAACGCCGCGGGAGUGAUGAAGGUCUUCGGAUCGUAAAACUCUGUUAUUAGGGAAGAACAAAUGUGUAAGUAACUAUGCACGUCUUGACGGUACCUAAUCAGAAAGCCACGGCUAACUACGUG